AUUGAACGCUGGCGGCAUGCCUUACACAUGCAAGUCGUGCGGCAGCGCGGGGGCAACCCUGGCGGCGAGCGGCGGACGGGUGAGUAAUACAUCGGAACGUGUCCUUUCGUGGGGGAUAACCAGUCGAAAGACUGGCUAAUACCGCAUGAGAUCUCACGAUGAAAGCGGGGGACCGCAAGGCCUCGCGCGAUUGGAGCGGCCGAUGUCGGAUUAGCUAGUUGGCGGGGUAAAAGCCCACCAAGGCGACGAUCCGUAGCUGGUUUGAGAGAACGACCAGCCACACUGGGGCUGAGACACGGCCCAGACUCCUACGGGAGGCAGCAGUGGGGAAUUUUGGACAAUGGGGGCAACCCUGAUCCAGCCAUGCCGCGUGUGUGAAGAAGGCCUUCGGGUUGUAAAGCACUUUCGGCCGGAACGAAAUCGCGCGGAUUAAUAACCCGCGUGGAUGACGGUACCGGAAGAAGAAGCACCGGCUAACUACGUGCCAGCCGCCGCGGUAA
RNAcentral lists this ribosomal RNA (500 nucleotides) under uncultured bacterium. RNAcentral's name for it is "partial 16S ribosomal RNA". It matches the Rfam family "Bacterial small subunit ribosomal RNA", at positions 29 to 523 of the family's 1533-position model. The record is from RNAcentral.